RNAcentral lists this unclassified non-coding RNA (344 nucleotides) under soil metagenome. RNAcentral describes it as "partial contains 5.8S ribosomal RNA, internal transcribed spacer 2, and large subunit ribosomal RNA". The stretch from base 1 to 120 matches the Rfam family "5.8S ribosomal RNA", at positions 35 to 154 of the family's 154-position model. The record is from RNAcentral.
GAUGAAGAACGCAGCGAAAUGCGAUAAGUAAUGUGAAUUGCAGAUUUCAGUGAAUCAUCGAAUCUUUGAACGCACAUUGCGCCCGCCAGUAUUCUGGCGGGCAUGCCUGUUCGAGCGUCAUUUCAACCCUCAAGCCCCCGGGCUUGGUGUUGGGGAUCGGCGUGCCCUCGCGGCGCGCCGUCCCCUAAAUCUAGUGGCGGUCUCGCUGUAGCUUCCUCUGCGUAGUAGCAACACUCGCACUGGAUCGCAGCGCGGCCACGCCGUUAAACCCCCCACUUCUGAAAGUUUGACCUCGGAUCAGGUAGGAAUACCCGCUGAACUUAAGCAUAUCAAUAAGCGGAGGA